AUGCCCUCAAGUUCAUCUUGGACAACAAAGCAGAACAAAAAGUUUGAGAAUGCUUUGGCCAUCUAUGACAAGGAUACACCAGAUAGGUGGCAGAAGCUAGCGAAAGCUGUUGGAGGUAAGACAGUGGAAGAAGUGAAAAGACAUUAUGAGAUGUUGGUUCAAGAUUUGAAGCAGAUUGAAGAUGGUCAUGUUCCAUUACCAAAAUACAGAAAUUCUCCAACAAUAGGAGGAGAUAGCAUUAAAAGUUACACUUUUAUAGAUGAAGAACAAAGGUUGAAGUUUCUAAGCAUUCAGUGA
Vicia faba (fava bean) is the source of this 297-nucleotide non-coding RNA. The record is from the annotation of a GenBank genome assembly. Lineage: Eukaryota; Viridiplantae; Streptophyta; Magnoliopsida; Fabales; Fabaceae.